RNAcentral lists this ribosomal RNA (301 nucleotides) under uncultured bacterium. Its description in RNAcentral is "partial 16S ribosomal RNA". It matches the Rfam family "Bacterial small subunit ribosomal RNA", at positions 509 to 807 of the family's 1533-position model. The record is from RNAcentral.
CAGCAGCCGCGGGAAUACGAAGGGGGCUAGCGUUGCUCGGAAUGACUGGGCGUAAAAGGCGCGUAGGCGGCAUACACAGUCAGAUGUGAAAUUCCUGGGCUUAACCUGGGGGCUGCAUUUGAUACGUGUAGGCUAGAGUGGGGAAGAGGGUUGUGGAAUUCCCAGUGUAGAGGUGAAAUUCGUAGAUAUUGGGAAGAACACCGGUGGCGAAGGCGGCAACCUGGUCCUUGACUGACGCUGAGGCGCGAAAGCGUGGGGAGCAAACAGGAUUAGAUACCCCCGUAGUCCCUGUCUCUUAUAC